UUUAUGGAGAGUUUGAUCCUGGCUCAGGAUGAACGCUGGCGGCGUGCCUAAUACAUGCAAGUCGAGCGAACGGACGAGAAGCUUGCUUCUCUGAUGUUAGCGGCGGACGGGUGAGUAACACGUGGAUAACCUACCUAUAAGACUGGGAUAACUUCGGGAAACCGGAGCUAAUACCGGAUAAUAUUUUGAACCGCAUGGUUCAAAAGUGAAAGACGGUCUUGCUGUCACUUAUAGAUGGAUCCGCGCUGCAUUAGCUAGUUGGUAAGGUAACGGCUUACCAAGGCAACGAUGCAUAGCCGACCUGAGAGGGUGAUCGGCCACACUGGAACUGAGAC
Molecule: ribosomal RNA, 335 nt
Filed under: Staphylococcus aureus
Lineage: Bacteria; Bacillati; Bacillota; Bacilli; Caryophanales; Staphylococcaceae
Description: bacterial SSU rRNA
Rfam family: Bacterial small subunit ribosomal RNA
Source: RNAcentral